RNAcentral lists this long non-coding RNA (222 nucleotides) under Elaeis guineensis (African oil palm). RNAcentral describes it as "long non-coding RNA (EGUI_LNC001471)". Lineage: Eukaryota; Viridiplantae; Streptophyta; Magnoliopsida; Arecales; Arecaceae. The record is from RNAcentral.
CUCUCUUCGAUCCAUGAAAAGAUUACUGCUCUCCAGAACCAGCAACUUAUCUCGCAGAUUUCGAACAAUGAAAUCAUUGAAGCUCUAUCUCAAUUACAAUCUGAUUGUGCCCCCAGGCCCUCCGGCUUCCAGCCUUUAUUCUACAAACAGUUUUGGCCGAUUGUUAGGAAUGAGGUGUUGGCUGCUGUUCAUGAAGUCUUCAGCACCUGCUCUAUGCCUAGG